GGCUACUUACUUAUUUUGUUGAAGGCUGAUUUCUUUCCUAUGGUAGAUUAUAAUGCUUUACUUUUUUGUGGAGGGUUGAUUUCUUCCUUGUAAAGAUAAGAAAUUCUUAAACAAACAGGACCCUUAGAGUCCUAUAUAAAUCCUAGUAUCUUUCAUGAAAAAAGACAAUGAAUGAUUUUACAAACUCCACAAAUACUUGUGUCAAUCGCUCAGAGAGGGAGAGGGUGUGAGACCCAAAAUCACCCCACAAGGGGAGGGUGUGAGGCCCACUUUCUAUCCUAUUCCUUCUACUUAAGAUUCAGUGUUCCUGCGACUCUGAUUGACUCCACCAUCUACCCACGCAAGCCUAUUCCGUCAAGAGAAGAUCUGUCUCCUCCAGAAUUUUUAACUGUCGUGCUGAGAGAAGGAGUGAUUUCUUAUUCUACAGA
This 428-nucleotide long non-coding RNA is filed under the name Elaeis guineensis (African oil palm). RNAcentral describes it as "long non-coding RNA (EGUI_LNC025462)". The record is from RNAcentral. Lineage: Eukaryota; Viridiplantae; Streptophyta; Magnoliopsida; Arecales; Arecaceae.